RNAcentral lists this ribosomal RNA (297 nucleotides) under Stutzerimonas stutzeri. RNAcentral describes it as "Pseudomonas stutzeri partial 16S ribosomal RNA". It matches the Rfam family "Bacterial small subunit ribosomal RNA", at positions 60 to 358 of the family's 1533-position model. Lineage: Bacteria; Pseudomonadati; Pseudomonadota; Gammaproteobacteria; Pseudomonadales; Pseudomonadaceae. The record is from RNAcentral.
AGUCGAGCGGAUGAGUGGAGCUUGCUCCAUGAUUCAGCGGCGGACGGGUGAGUAAUGCCUAGGAAUCUGCCUGGUAGUGGGGGACAACGUUUCGAAAGGAACGCUAAUACCGCAUACGUCCUACGGGAGAAAGUGGGGGAUCUUCGGACCUCACGCUAUCAGAUGAGCCUAGGUCGGAUUAGCUAGUUGGUGAGGUAAAGGCUCACCAAGGCGACGAUCCGUAACUGGUCUGAGAGGAUGAUCAGUCACACUGGAACUGAGACACGGUCCAGACUCCUACGGGAGGCAGCAGUGGGA